UGUUCUAAAGUCGUUUGUAUUUGCUAAUUGACAGUACAACCUCAUGAGAUUUUUAGAUCAGCUAAUGGACUGUCAUUGUUUUGUUUAGAAUAUUUGCUAAGCUAUAGAUUACAGUGUGAAAUAUAGAUAUACCGUAAUUUGAGAAUUCAAAAACAGAUACAGGUUAUGUUCAAAAUUACUGCCUUUUCUUAGAUGUGUCAAUAAUAAACUCUUCAUUUAACAAUAGUAAUUAAUACUAUUAAUUAAUUUUCUAAAGUUGCUUAUAGUUUUUACUGCUUNUUAAUUAUUAUGCCAUAGUUUGCUUUGCAAUGCUGAAUAUCCUGUUUUGUCUUCAUGAUAUUUGAAUACAUAUGCAUUUUUAUUAAGUUGUACUUUAAAUGUAAGUAAUUUUCUUUUCAUUUCUGUGCAGAUGAUCAUCUGGUUGGAGAAGAUGUUAGAUAAAAUAAUUAGCAUUUUCAUCAUAUUUUUGUUAGUGAUAGGAACCCUUCUUUUAGCCCUACUCCUGACUGCAAAGGUACAUCAAGAGAGUGUACACAUGAUUGAAGUCACGAGUAAUUUGAUUAACGAAACUCUAGCAAAUCACCCCGAGUGGGCAAAGUAAGAAUACUUAUGUCGUUUGUUCCUCACAGUGACUGUUUGAGGUAGAUUGGAGAGAUUGUUCCCAUUUCACAGAUGAGGAAGCAGGAUCAAAGGUUAAGGAACUUGAGAUAAUAAUCCCCUAGUGGCAGAGUUAGCACUUACAGCUGGGCUUCUGACCAGCUGAUGGAACUUUUCACUCUACCAUGUGACUGCUCAACUUUCUAUAGAAUUCUUGACAUAUUCCCACACUGAAAUUGUUUUAUUUAAGGAGGGGUGGGCAAGCUAUGGUCCAGGACCAAAUCCAGCCACCUGUUUUUGUAAAUAAAGUUUUAUUGGAACACA
Molecule: long non-coding RNA, 921 nt
Organism: Galeopterus variegatus (Sunda flying lemur)
Lineage: Eukaryota; Metazoa; Chordata; Mammalia; Dermoptera; Cynocephalidae
Exons: 2
Source: RefSeq, a predicted model, not a curated record